UUUCCCUCAGGAUAGCUGGCACUCAUGGGAAACGAGUCUCAUCCGGUAAAGCGAAUGAUUAGAGGCCUUGGGGCCGAAACGACCUCAACCUAUUCUCAAACUUUAAAUGGGUGAGAUCUCUGGCUUGCUUGAAAAGUGAAGCCAAGAGAGUAAAGUGGAUCAGAGUGCCAAGUGGGCCAAUUUUGGUAAGCAGAACUGGCGCUGUGGGA
Molecule: ribosomal RNA, 209 nt
Filed under: Ceratanaphes sp. D1041
Lineage: Eukaryota; Metazoa; Arthropoda; Insecta; Hymenoptera; Mymaridae
Description: partial 28S ribosomal RNA
Rfam family: Eukaryotic large subunit ribosomal RNA
Source: RNAcentral